RNAcentral lists this unclassified non-coding RNA (1941 nucleotides) under uncultured fungus. Its description in RNAcentral is "sequence contains 18S rRNA gene, ITS1, 5.8S rRNA gene, ITS2, 28S rRNA gene". The stretch from base 834 to 1941 matches the Rfam family "Eukaryotic large subunit ribosomal RNA", at positions 1 to 961 of the family's 3401-position model. Lineage: Eukaryota; Fungi. The record is from RNAcentral.
GGAAGGAUCAUUAACACGUAUCCACGUAUCCACCCAAAGCGAAUUCAUUUCAUUCUCCCUCUAUAGCAGUGAAGGAAUCGAGUCGACAGCAAAGUACGAGUGGGAUCCGCAAGGGUCUAUUCGCUGUUCACCAACUGAGGUUUCGGCCUCGACGAUUGUAUUACUGUGGAGGCUAAUUUCUUUACUACUCGGUUUCCAACUCUGCCGUGGUAGUAAGGAUAACUCUAUUAACCUAUCUCACCCCUUUUUGCUAGUUGACUUUUAUAUGUUGUUACUUGCGCUUGUCGCAUGGAGCACACGUUUAAUUAUUUGAACGUUAAAAAUACAACUCUUAGCAAUGGAUAUCUUGGUUCUCGCAACGAUGAAGAACGCAGCGAAAUGCGAUACGUAAUGCGAAUUGCAGAAUUCAGUGAAUCAUCAAAUCUUUGAACGCAAAUUGCGCUCUUGGGUAGCCCUAGGAGCACGCCUCUCUCAGUAUCGGUUCAACCCUCUCUCAGCAGCGUUGCGCAAUAGUCAUCUUCGGAUGUCUCUUGUGUGGCGUGUUGGCUGGAUAAUGAGAGUCUGAGUGCUUGUCACGCAGUCUCUUGAAAUACAUCGAGUGAAACAUAUGACUUCCGAUCAGCUCGCCCUUCCUUCGGGAGCGGCGAUAGUCUCGCCAGACUGUUGCUCGAGAGUAACGUGAAUAUUGGCCUUCAUUGGUCUUCCUUUUUACGUAUAUCUCUCGUGUGAUACUCAAGUUUGGCAAGGUGAACGAGCGUGUGAGUGUAAUGUUUACGUUGGCAAACCAUAUGAUUGUUGCUGAGAAAUUUAUUUCUCAACGGUGAUCUGAAUUUUGAUCUGAGAUGAAGCGAGACAACCCCCUGAAUUUAAGCAUAUUAAUAAGGGGAGGAAAAGAAACUAACAAGGAUUCCCCCAGUAACGGCGAGUGAAGCGGGAAGAGCUCAAUUUGAAAAUCGAUUACCUAAACGGGUCAUCGAGUUGUAGCCUAGAGACGUACUAUCAGCUGAAACCUGGGUAUAAGUUCUUUGGAAUGAGGCAUCAUAGAGGGUGAGAAUCCCGUUUAUGACACAAAGCUUUCAGCGUACGAUGUAUGUUCAUCGAGUCGAGUUGUUUGGGAUUGCAGCUCUAAAUGGGUGGUAAGUUUCAUCUAAAGCUAAAUAAUGGCGAGAGACCGAUAGCGAACAAGUACCGUGAGGGAAAGAUGAAAAGAACUUUGAAAGAGAGUUAAAAGUACUUGAAAUUGCUAAGAGGGAAGCGCUGGAAACCAGUGAUAUGUCGCGUCAAUCGCUCGGGGCCCCACUAGUUCGUGCGAGUCGUUGGAAACUCGCCUUGCGCGAACGAAAGGGCGGUUCCGGGUUUAUGAUGCGAUGUGAGUCAAGAUCCAUUCGGACGGUGGGAGAAGGUAGCGAGAAAGGUAGGAGAGCAAUCUCUGUUAUAUUCUUGUUACUCUACCUCGGUCUGGAUGGAGGAAGUAAUGGUGCGCCGCUUGCGGCUUGGUCCGGCGUCUCUAUGGUCCUAUCUGUCUGUAUAGCAAUGCUAUCCUGGUGGAAACCGGCCAUACUGGGCGUCGUGAUUCUAUGUGCCAUCACGAUCUUGUACGAAAUGGUUUUCAUCGACCCGUCUUGAAACACGGACCAAGGAGUCUAACAUCUAUGCAAGUAUUUGGGUGCAAAACCCUGAUGCGUAAUGAAAGUAAAGGUAGACUUGUUCUACUGAGGUAGGAAUCCCGCAAGGGAGGCACUAUCGACCGAUCAUCACUUGUGAAAGAUUUGAGUAAGAGCAUAUCUGUUGGGACCCGAAAGAUGGUGAUCUAUGCCUGAACAGGGUGAAGCCAGGGGAAACUCUGGUGGAGGCUCGUAGCGAUACUGACGUGCAAAUCGUUCGUCUGAUUUGGGUAUAGGGGCGAAAGACUAAUCGAACCAUCUAGUAGCUGGUUCCCUC